AGCUUUUAUCUUAUAACAUAAGAGGUGGUUUUGGUAAUCUAAAUAUUAAAUAUUGUUCUGAGAUGCAAGAAGGACAGCAUUAGCCUUUAUGGAUCAUUUUCAGGACUGCAUGACCUAUUCCAUCCUUCAGGUUCCUGU
Lagopus muta (rock ptarmigan) is the source of this 138-nucleotide long non-coding RNA. RefSeq lists it as uncharacterized. The transcript is spliced from 2 exons. The record is from RefSeq and is a predicted model, not a curated record. Lineage: Eukaryota; Metazoa; Chordata; Aves; Galliformes; Phasianidae.